GAAGAUAUAGCUCAAGUGGUAGAGCGUGUGCUUAGCAUGCACAAGGUCUUGGGUUCAAUCCCCAGUACCUCCU
This 73-nucleotide transfer RNA is filed under the name Camelus bactrianus (Bactrian camel). It matches the Rfam family "tRNA". From Rfam's summary of the family: Transfer RNA (tRNA) molecules are approximately 80 nucleotides in length. Their secondary structure includes four short double-helical elements and three loops (D, anti-codon, and T loops). Further hydrogen bonds mediate the characteristic L-shaped molecular structure. tRNAs have two regions of fundamental functional importance: the anti-codon, which is responsible for specific mRNA codon recognition, and the 3' end, to which the tRNAs corresponding amino acid is attached (by aminoacyl-tRNA synthetases). tRNAs cope with the degeneracy of the genetic code in two manners: having more than one tRNA (with a specific anti-codon) for a particular amino acid; and 'wobble' base-pairing, i.e. permitting non-standard base-pairing at the 3rd anti-codon position. The record is from Rfam by way of RNAcentral. Lineage: Eukaryota; Metazoa; Chordata; Mammalia; Artiodactyla; Camelidae. RNAcentral also lists the same sequence under 2 other names.